GCUGCUGGCGGUGGGGCUGUUCGCGCUGCCGUUUCCGUUGGUGGUGGCCGGCGCGGCACUGGCCGGCGCCC
This 71-nucleotide transfer RNA is filed under the name Blastochloris tepida. Its description in RNAcentral is "Blastochloris sp. GI tRNA-Gly". The record is from RNAcentral. Lineage: Bacteria; Pseudomonadati; Pseudomonadota; Alphaproteobacteria; Hyphomicrobiales; Blastochloridaceae.